RNA transcript from Mya arenaria, 4669 nucleotides. It is a transcript of the gene named probable oxidoreductase PXDNL, with no coding region annotated. NCBI's taxonomy places the organism in Eukaryota, Metazoa, Mollusca, Bivalvia, Myida, Myidae. The transcript is spliced from 6 exons. The record is from RefSeq and is a predicted model, not a curated record.
GCUGUUCAAUAAAAAAAAAUUAACAUUAACAUUUUAUUUAGUGAAAUUUAAACAAAAUAUUUAUAUCAGAGAUUGUGCUCUUCAUGUGUAAGAUUUCAUUGUGGUAUAACAACAACAGUGUUAUUUUCAUAAACACCAGGGAAAGCUAGGUUUUCGCACCCAAAUGACACCAAACAAUAUAACAAUUAUGCUGUUAAUGAUUCCAAAUCAACUUUUAAAUCUAAAGUAAUCUUAAGAUUUGUUCUUAUUUUUUCAAUGAAAAUAACUACAUUUAAUUGAAACUAAGACAAAGUUAUCAUAUAAAAAAACUUAUAUUCGUUUUAUUUGUUGUUUAAGCAUAACCGUUGCAACUUGAUAUCAUUUGAUAAGCUAUGAAUUUAUACACUGCUGUGCAUGAUGCAAGGCUUUUGCCUAGGUAUUCCUGUAGCUGCUAGUUCACUUUAUAUCAUGUAAAUAAACUGUACAUAUUUACACCUCAACUUCCAUUCCUUAAAUGAACUGCCUUUUGGCAAUUGCGUUCAUCAUUUAAUGAACGCAACAUCUUCGAAUAUGUUCGGAUCGCAAUUGAUCGCAUAACAAUAUACAUGAAAACUAUUGAUCUUGUUAUUGUUUGUAUAAUGUCAGCAGGUUCCGUAAAUUAUAAAUCAACAUUUUAGAAAGUGUUAAUAUAUUAUAUUUUAAAUGUAUUGUUGCCAUAAGUGUUUUAAUUUUACGUUUAAAAGUGAUUUCAGGUGGUUGAUCUUUUCCCGCGUUAUUGUGAUGUCAUUUGAAAAAAUGUUUCCGGUUACAGUCGGAUCGUUCUAUUUACAGAAUUGUUCCUUACCAGCAGUUAUAAUGCUGUGUACAGAGCUCCAAGCAACUGUUAAAGACAAUGUCAUUCUAGAAUGUUCAGCCAUCGGAAAUCCACAGCCUGUCAUUACCUUGGAGAAAUAUGGCGGCAUUCUUUUAUCUGGGCGAUACCGACAAAUUCAUGGUAACUUGUACCUGGACAACAUGACCGUCGAGGAUGAGGGGACCUACAUGUGUAAGGCCAACAAUGGCCUGAAUGCUCUGCAGCCUGACGGUAUCAAGAUUAUCAUGCUCAGAGCAUCCAAGUACUUGAGUAAAGCAGUGUGAGGUCAACAUUAGUCUUGCCUGGCGUAUAUAAUGCUUGUGUGUGCAGUGUUUGGUAGACCUGAGCCUGUCGUUACUUGGUACCACAGUGGCAACUUUCUUGGAAAUUUCACUGGACUACCACAUAUCAGUAGACGGUCAUGCCUAAUCACUCAUCAUCCUGGGAGGGUUUCUACAUCUACUACAAGCCAUACCACAGUAGUAAGCCCUUUCGAAACGCAACCCAACUUCAGUCCAGCAUGUGGGUCCAUUUACUUCAGGACAUACUGCCGGGACACAAAUGCCUCAUAACGUUGCAGCUCCUUUAGUAAUCAGGCAGUUAUGAUAACAACUGGCCAAGGCUCUUGAGACUCCAUAUAUCAUCAUCUUGCACAUGCCCACGCCCAAAUACAUGCCAGACAGCAAGGAUGUUGAUGAUGGUGAAUCCAAUCAAAAUGAGAUUCGUCAGCUAAGCUUAAAGCAGUGAAGAGAGAUGUUGUAAAUAAUAAAUACCCAGAUUUGCUCUUAGCUGGUGAUUGUGGUCAUGUUCAUGUGUUGGUGGAAAGAGUGACAGCAGCUAAGGAGAUGGGUAGAUAGGAGCAAAGAAUAGUAACUUUAUGCGAAUUACAAAAAUGGAAUGGGAGAGAUAGCUAGCUAUUGUAUGGCUACAUGUUACGACUUCUGGACAGAUGACAAACUGAAUUGUUAAUUCUUAUAUGUAAUUUUGUCUCGCCUAGUUCUUUUUAUAUAGUAUAUGCACUGUGUUGUUUGUGGAAUUUUGUGCUGUUGUUUCAUGUUUCUUGAUUGUGGUGUUUUGUUUUGUGUUCUUUUUCUUUGGCGUUUAUGAAAGGGUUGUAUAUGACCAAGUUGAAUCAUACUUCAAAGUAAACAAGUUAUUGUAUAAAUUUCAGACUGGGUUUAGAAGUGCCUCAUCAGAUACAUGUCUACAGUCAAACCUGUACUAAGUGGCCACCCUUGGGAAAUGAUCAAAGUGGCUGCUUAAGACAGGUGGCCACUUAAUCCAGGUUUAACAUUUCGCCACUUUAGCUUUAUUCAGAGAUGGAGUAUGUAUCUUAACCACCACCUCACACCACAAUCAGUAACAUUUGUAUCAAUAUAAUUAAAGAAGGUUGAAUACAAAUACAUUUGUAUAGAUAAAAUAACUUUAUUUCAAAUUUAUGAAUAAAAUACAUUAGAUAAAUGUUGAUACAAGGCAUAAACAAAACACUACAGCCGUUUUCUAAUAACUUUAUACAAUCGACACGUUCUUUUAGAGUCAAACACUUUCGAUUAGUAUUAUUUUCAGCCAUAAUCAAAGUAAAAAAAAUAUCAAGAACAAUGCAUUGUAAAUAUCCGUUCGUAGAAAUAUAAAUCCGUGCCCUUUGAAAAAUAAUAUUGAAGUGAAUAAAAAUCGUAACUCAUUUCACGCCUUCGAAUGACAAUGCAAACUGUGAAUUCAUAAUAACCGGUGUUUUGUCGGUAAUUAUUAAUUAACUUCGUAAUUAUUUAAUUAUCUUAUUAAUUGUGUCAAUUCUGAUGCAAACAUUCGCACACGUGUAAUAAACAUGAUUUUCUCAAUGAGUAAACACGCAUGGCAAUCGUGUCAUGCAAUAUUCAUUUUCAUUGGAUGACGGAGAUACCCGAGGCCGUCGUUCUUUUCCGAAACUUCUAUACGCAAUUAAAGCUGUGUAUUGGAAAAUUUAUAAGCGGAAGUGUCAGUGACAAGGGAUUAGUGGCCGCUAAUUAGUGUUUAUAUGGCUUCAUGGGGACAAAAAUUAGUGGCCGUGGCCGCGUUAGACAGUUGGCCGCUUAAUGCACGUACAUUAUAUAGUAAAAACGUACGGGGGGAAUUUGGAGUGGCCCGUUAAGGCAGGUGGCCAUUUAAAGCAGGUGACUGUUCAACCAGGUUUGACUGUAAUUCAUUUAACAGAUUUCAUAAGGAUGGAAAUGGACAAAGGUCACGUAGUAGGUAUGAUUCUGUUAGACCUCCAAAAGGCUUUCGAUACUGUCGACCACUCCACCCCUCUUAUGAAGCUUCGAUCAGCAGGACUUGGUGAUGACAUUUUAAGAUGGUUUGAAUCCUACCUUACAGGUAGAAAGCAACAGGUUGAUGUCUCCAGUACACAUACUACUACUUCUACUUUUACAUGUGGAGUUCCACUGGGUUUCAUACUAGGCCCUCUUUUAUUUUUUAUUUAUGUAAACAAUAUGUCAGCCGUGGUUAAAAACAACCUCUUGUUAUAUAUACGCUAAUGAUUCUGGCAUACUUGUUUCAGGUAAAUGUAAGUUUUCUGUGGAAACGUCAUUGAAAGAUGACCUGCAUCUUGUCAGUCAAUGGUUGGUUGAUAAUAAGUUGUCACUUCAUUUAGGCAAAACUGAGUCAAUUUUAUGUGGGUCUAAACAUAAAAUAAGGUCAGACUUGACACUUGAUAUUACAUGUAAUGGUACCACUAUUGAACCAACUUCUGCUGUUAAAUAUCUUGGUGCAACUAUUGAUCAGACUCUAUCUUUUGAUUCUAUGGCUUGUUCUAUAUUAAAAAUGGCUAAUACAAGAUUGAAAUAUCUAUAUCGAAAGAAAGGUUACCUUACAAAACACACCAAGAAACUCCUUGUCAUGGCCUUAAUUCAAUGCCAUCUUGAUUAUGCCUGUUCUAUGUGGCAUCAUGGUCUGACCAAGUUACUUAAAACCAAGCUCCAAACCACACAAAAUAAACUUAUGAGGUUUGUAUUGGAUCUAGAUGCAAGGUCUCACAUUGGCCCAGAACACUUUAAAUUACUCAACUGGUUACCUGUCAACAAACGUGUAGACCAGAUUAGUUUGGGUUAUUCUUUAGAAUAAAAAAUGGCAUAGCCCCGGACUACAUGGGAGACAAUUUUAUCUCCCAAGAUACUGUGCACACACAAAGGACAAGGUUAUGUCAGAAAGGGGCUUAUGCUGUUCCAGAGGUCAAAGGUUUUGGGUUAAAGUCCUUCUUUUCUGGUAUUUCCUUAUGGAACAAUGUGCCAUCUUGUAUCGCACAGACUAAGAAAUUACCUGUUUUUAAAUUGCUAGUAAAGAAUCUUUUUUUAGAUAAUUCGGCAUAAUUAGUUAUGUUAUUAAAAGGUUUUGUUUGUUUUUUCAUUUAUUUAUUCAAAGAUUUUCAGUAAAGGAACUAUUUUAACUUCACCUCGCAUUUUAUAAGUACUACAUACUGUCAUAUUCAUACUAUAUUGUUAUAAUUAUAUUUAACUUUCUCAACUUAUAACUUUAUGUUACUAAAUUAUGUAAAGUGACUUUGAUACAACUAUGGCAAUAUUUAUUUUAAUGCAUAAAGACUAACUUUUAAUAUAUUUGUGCAAUUUUGAUUACAGCUAUAUUAUUACUUAAAUAUGCAAUGCCUCCCUAUGCUAAUUUAAGCCACCAAAACAAAGGACCACAAUGGAAAUAAGAGUUUUCUCUUUUGUGUCAUCCUUGGUUCGGUGUGCCUGUCAUGGCUAUUGAAAAGAUCAUGUAUGUAUAAUGUUAUUUACUAUACAUGUUGUUUAUUUUAAAUGUCCAUGUAUGUGCAUUCCUUACUGAAAUAAAUCUAUCUAUCUA